AGAGCGAACGCUGGCGGCAGGCCUAACACAUGCAAGUCGAGCGGCCGUAGCAAUACGGCAGCGGCAGACGGGAGAGUAACACGUGGGAACGCGCCCUUCGGUUCGGAAUAACUCAGGGAAACUUGGGCUAAUACCGGAUACGCCCUUACGGGGAAAGAUUUAUUGCCGAAGGAACGGCCCGCGUCCGAUUAGCUUGUUGGUGAGGUAACGGCUCACCAAGGCGACGAUCGGUAGCUGGUCUGAGAGGAUGACCAGCCUCACUGGGACUGAGACACGGCCCAGACUCCUACGGGAGGCAGCAGUGGGGAAUAUUGGACAAUGGCGCAAGCCUGAUCCAGCCAUGCCGCGUGGGUGAUGAAGGCCCUAGGGUUGUAAAGCCCGUUUCGGCGGGAAGAUAAUGACGGUACCGCAGAAGAAGCCCGGCUAACUUCGUGCCAGCAGCCGC
RNAcentral lists this ribosomal RNA (445 nucleotides) under uncultured bacterium. RNAcentral describes it as "SSU rRNA". It matches the Rfam family "Bacterial small subunit ribosomal RNA", at positions 26 to 518 of the family's 1533-position model. The record is from RNAcentral.